Molecule: ribosomal RNA, 423 nt
Filed under: Bacillus cereus
Lineage: Bacteria; Bacillati; Bacillota; Bacilli; Caryophanales; Bacillaceae
Description: bacterial SSU rRNA
Rfam family: Bacterial small subunit ribosomal RNA
Source: RNAcentral
CUAAUACAUGCAAGUCGAGCGAAUGGAUUAAGAGCUUGCUCUUAUGAAGUUAGCGGCGGACGGGUGAGUAACACGUGGGUAACCUGCCCAUAAGACUGGGAUAACUCCGGGAAACCGGGGCUAAUACCGGAUAACAUUUUGAACCGCAUGGUUCGAAAUUGAAAGGCGGCUUCGGCUGUCACUUAUGGAUGGACCCGCGUCGCAUUAGCUAGUUGGUGAGGUAACGGCUCACCAAGGCAACGAUGCGUAGCCGACCUGAGAGGGUGAUCGGCCACACUGGGACUGAGACACGGCCCAGACUCCUACGGGAGGCAGCAGUAGGGAAUCUUCCGCAAUGGACGAAAGUCUGACGGAGCAACGCCGCGUGAGUGAUGAAGGCUUUCGGGUCGUAAAACUCUGUUGUUAGGGAAGAACAAGUGCUAG